RNAcentral lists this ribosomal RNA (267 nucleotides) under uncultured prokaryote. RNAcentral describes it as "partial 16S ribosomal RNA". It matches the Rfam family "Archaeal small subunit ribosomal RNA", at positions 455 to 721 of the family's 1478-position model. The record is from RNAcentral.
GUGCCAGCAGCCGCGGUAAUACCGGCAGCCCGAGUGAUGGCCGAUAUUAUUGGGCCUAAAGCGUCCGUAGCUGGCCGGACAAGUCCGUUGGGAAAUCUGUUCGCUUAACGAGCAGGCGUCCAGCGGAAACUGUUCGGCUUGGGACCGGAAGACCUGAGGGGUACGUCCGGGGUAGGAGUGAAAUCCUGUAAUCCUGGACGGACCACCGGUGGCGAAAGCGCCUCAGGAGGACGGAUCCGACAGUGAGGGACGAAAGCUAGGGUCUCG